AAAUUGAAGAGUUUGAUCAUGGCUCAGAUUGAACGCUGGCGGCAGGCCUAACACAUGCAAGUCGAACGGUAACAGGAAGCAGCUUGCUGCUUCGCUGACGAGUGGCGGACGGGUGAGUAAUGUCUGGGAAACUGCCUGAUGGAGGGGGAUAACUACUGGAAACGGUGGCUAAUACCGCAUAACGUCGCAAGACCAAAGAGGGGGACCUUCGGGCCUCUUGCCAUCAGAUGUGCCCAGAUGGGAUUAGCUAGUUGGUGAGGUAACGGCUCACCAAGGCGACGAUCCCUAGCUGGUCUGAGAGGAUGACCAGCCACACUGGAACUGAGACACGGUCCAGACUCCUACGGGAGGCAGCAGUGGGGAAUAUUGCACAAUGGGCGCAAGCCUGAUGCAGCCAUGCCGCGUGUAUGAAGAAGGCCUUCGGGUUGUAAAGUACUUUCAGCGGGGAGGAAGGUGUUGUGGUUAAUAACCGCAGCAAUUGACGUUACCCGCAGAAGAAGCACCGGCUAACUCCGUGCCAGCAGCCGCGGUAAUACGGAGGGUGCAAGCGUUAAUCGGAAUUACUGGGCGUAAAGCGCACGCAGGCGGUCUGUCAAGUCGGAUGUGAAAUCCCCGGGCUCAACCUGGGAACUGCAUUCGAAACUGGCAGGCUUGAGUCUUGUAGAGGGGGGUAGAAUUCCAGGUGUAGCGGUGAAAUGCGUAGAGAUCUGGAGGAAUACCGGUGGCGAAGGCGGCCCCUGGACAAAGACUGACGCUCAGGUGCGAAAGCGUGGGGAGCAAACAGGAUUAGAUACCCUGGUAGUCCACGCCGUAAACGAUGUCUACUUGGAGGUUGUGCCCUUGAGGCGUGGCUUCCGGAGCUAACGCGUUAAGUAGACCGCCUGGGGAGUACGGCCGCAAGGUUAAAACUCAAAUGAAUUGACGGGGGCCCGCACAAGCGGUGGAGCAUGUGGUUUAAUUCGAUGCAACGCGAAGAACCUUACCUGGUCUUGACAUCCACAGAACUUUCCAGAGAUGGAUUGGUGCCUUCGGGAACUGUGAGACAGGUGCUGCAUGGCUGUCGUCAGCUCGUGUUGUGAAAUGUUGGGUUAAGUCCCGCAACGAGCGCAACCCUUAUCCUUUGUUGCCAGCGGUUAGGCCGGGAACUCAAAGGAGACUGCCAGUGAUAAACUGGAGGAAGGUGGGGAUGACGUCAAGUCAUCAUGGCCCUUACGACCAGGGCUACACACGUGCUACAAUGGCGCAUACAAAGAGAAGCGACCUCGCGAGAGCAAGCGGACCUCAUAAAGUGCGUCGUAGUCCGGAUUGGAGUCUGCAACUCGACUCCAUGAAGUCGGAAUCGCUAGUAAUCGUGGAUCAGAAUGCCACGGUGAAUACGUUCCCGGGCCUUGUACACACCGCCCGUCACACCAUGGGAGUGGGUUGCAAAAGAAGUAGGUAGCUUAACCUUCGGGAGGGCGCUUACCACUUUGUGAUUCAUGACUGGGGUGAAGUCGUAACAAGGUAACCGUAGGGGAACCUGCGGUUGGAUCACCUCAUUA
RNAcentral lists this ribosomal RNA (1541 nucleotides) under Salmonella enterica. RNAcentral's name for it is "bacterial SSU rRNA". It matches the Rfam family "Bacterial small subunit ribosomal RNA". The record is from RNAcentral. Lineage: Bacteria; Pseudomonadati; Pseudomonadota; Gammaproteobacteria; Enterobacterales; Enterobacteriaceae.